AACGCAUAUUGCACCCUUUCGGGGGUAUGCCUGUUUGAGAAUCUAUAGUAUUCUUUUUAAAAAAAGACUUGGCGCUUCUCAGUGUGACUCUGAGUGCGCUUAAAACUAUAGCUUGGGGUCUUUUAGAUGCCGUAGCAAAAUUGUUUGAAGCUUUCCAAGCAACCUGCAACUAGCUACGGGAAAAACAUCUAAAUAACACCAACUACUAAACCAAGGAGGCCUAAACAAGCCCGAACCAUGGUCUCAAAUCAGGUAGGAGGACCCGCUGAACUUAA
Molecule: unclassified non-coding RNA, 275 nt
Filed under: uncultured fungus
Lineage: Eukaryota; Fungi
Description: partial contains 5.8S ribosomal RNA, internal transcribed spacer 2, and large subunit ribosomal RNA
Source: RNAcentral